This 400-nucleotide ribosomal RNA is filed under the name uncultured bacterium. Its description in RNAcentral is "bacterial SSU rRNA". It matches the Rfam family "Bacterial small subunit ribosomal RNA", at positions 355 to 746 of the family's 1533-position model. The record is from RNAcentral.
UGAGGAAUAUUGCGCAAUGGGGGAAACCCUGACGCAGCGACGCCGCGUGGGUGAAGAAGGCCUUCGGGUUGUAAAGCCCUGUCAGGUGGGAAGAAACCUCUGAAGGUGAAUAGCCUUCGGAACUGACGGUACCACCAAAGGAAGCACCGGCUAACUCCGUGCCAGCAGCCGCGGUAAGACGGAGGGUGCAAGCGUUGCUCGGAAUCACUGGGCGUAAAGCGCGUGUAGGCGGCCCGGUAAGUCGAGUGUGAAAGCCCGAGGCUCAACCUCGGAAGUGCAUUCGAAACUGCCGGUCUUGAGUACGGGAGAGGGAAGUGGAAUUCCUGGUGUAGAGGUGAAAUUCGUAGAUAUCAGGAGGAACACCGGUGGCGAAGGCGGCUUCCUGGACCGAUACUGACGC